RNAcentral lists this ribosomal RNA (253 nucleotides) under uncultured bacterium. RNAcentral describes it as "partial 16S ribosomal RNA". It matches the Rfam family "Bacterial small subunit ribosomal RNA", at positions 524 to 776 of the family's 1533-position model. The record is from RNAcentral.
UACGGAGGAUGCAAGCGUUAUCCGGAAUGAUUGGGCGUAAAGCGUCCGCAGGUGGCUGUGUAAGUCUGCUGUUAAAGAGUGAGGCUCAACCUCAUAAAGGCAGUGGAAACUACAUGGCUAGAGUGCGUUCGGGGCAGAGGGAAUUCCUGGUGUAGCGGUGAAAUGCGUAGAGAUCAGGAAGAACACCAGUGGCGAAGGCGCUCUGCUAGGCCGUAACUGACACUGAGGGACGAAAGCGUGGGGAGCAAACAGG